CGCUGGCGGCGUGCCUAACACAUGCAAGUCGAGCGAAUGAAGUUUCUUCGGGAACGGAUUUAGCGGCGGACGGGUGAGUAACACGUGGGCAACCUGCCUCAUAGAGGGGAAUAGCCUUCCGAAAGGGAGAUUAAUACCGCAUAAGAUUGUAGUACCGCAUGGUACAGCAAUUAAGGAGCAAUCCGCUAUGAGAUGGGGCCCGCGGCGCAUUAGCUAGUUGGUGAGGUAACGGCUCACCAAGGCGACGAUGCGUAGCCGACCUGANAGGGUGAUCGGCCACAUUGGGACUGAGACACGGCCCAGACUCCUACGGGAGGCAGCAGUGGGGAAUAUUGCACAAUGGGGGAAACCCUGACGCAGCAACGCCGCGUGAAGGAUGAAGGUCUUCGGAUUGUAAACUUUGUCUUAUGGGAAGAAAAAAUGACGGUACCAUAGGAGGAAGCCACGGCUAACUACGUG
This 459-nucleotide ribosomal RNA is filed under the name uncultured bacterium. RNAcentral's name for it is "bacterial SSU rRNA". It matches the Rfam family "Bacterial small subunit ribosomal RNA", at positions 34 to 507 of the family's 1533-position model. The record is from RNAcentral.